Bombus huntii is the source of this 3821-nucleotide long non-coding RNA. RefSeq lists it as uncharacterized. The record is from RefSeq and is a predicted model, not a curated record. The transcript is spliced from 6 exons. Lineage: Eukaryota; Metazoa; Arthropoda; Insecta; Hymenoptera; Apidae.
UAAUAUAAUAAACCUCUAAAGAACCGAAAUAUCCAGAAAUCAAUUGCGUGAAAAGUUGAAGAGGUUAGAUGUCUUAAGGUGGAAGCAUUUAUGUAAGGUCAAAAUACGUGCUCAAGUUCGGUGAAGAAAAAGUUGCAAAGCGAUAGGCUGAGAGACAGAAACUAAAAAAUUUACUGCAUCAGUAAAAAUUGUACAACUAAAAAGUUCCUUCAAGAUAAAUCACGACAUCUUCCCCCAAAAAGAGGACGCUUCAUCCUAGAGAGCGAAGAUGUUGUUUCCUGCUGACCCCGGAAACUCUUUUAUUCGUAAGAUGAAGCAAAACGAUCGCUAUAAAGUCAGCCUGUGAAACAAUCGUUUUAUGAAUUCCGUAGUUCCUGAAGAAUCGAUUCCUUCAAUGAUUCUAGAAGCAUUCAAGGAAUAACGUUUCGAUACAGCGAAGGAAUGCCCGAGGCCGGACGACAUCAAGAAAGAAAGACGCAGGUCUCAAAAGUCAAAAGAAAAGGCGAAGAGCAGUUGGGAUUUCUUUUAAGACAGAAAUCUACAUCUAUAUAAUACACGUCUUUGACUGAAUUAUUUUGGAUGGUUUCCCUUUAUAGAAUAGUCUAUUGGUAUAGAGAUACAUAGAUAUUAGAUAUGUCCAAUAUUUGUAAAUGUAUUAUUUAUGUUUUUUGUUUCGUAUUUUAAAUUAUUAUUUUAACAUUUUUUAUUAUUUUUAACUCUAGUUGAUAUAUAUCAUCGUUCAAAAAUAUAGUAAACGAUUAAGUUCUCUUUCUUAGGCAACGUACGAAUAAAUAGGUUUCCGUAGUGUGAAAGCCAACAGAUUCUUGUUUAUGUCAGCGUACAACCUAAUCGGGUAAAUCUCUAACUUUAAGCUUAAAUACAAAGGUUCUUGUAUAUGCUAAAUUACGACCAAGCAUUUAAUUUUAUAGAUCCUUUCGUACGUUAAUUUUAGUUGAACUUAGCACUUGGCCGCAUGGUGCAGCACUAGUACGGGAACAAGCAGAUCCAUAAGCGCGAGCACUGUUCGUAACCAUGGACAACAUAUGUAACGGCUCGAUACCAUUCGUGCGAUGACACGAACAGCUUAUUCGCGACACAAUACUGUUUGUAUAUUGUUACGGACGAUGUUAUCCCCCGACACAAUAUUCGUACUACAACGUCGUUAAGAUGUCCUGUGACUCUGUUUUUCUGUAAUUGCAAUUUUUAUUUUAAUAAGCAAGCGCACAAGAUAUCUCGUCCGUGACGUAGUAUGACUAUGAACGAUUUCUACCACAAUCGUGAAAUGUUUCGUUUGUAGUUGCAAAGUAGUUAAAAGCAUAUUAAGAAAUCAUAAAAAAUCUACUAACAAUAUAAAAUCUUUUUGAAAGGAUUAAAAGCGGCCCUUUGUAAACUUAUGAAUCAGUACUGUUCAAAACUGUCGCAAUUUGGGUAUUUAAAUCCGUACAAAUUAUUUAAACAGGGUGGCCAGCGCAACGGCCGCUACAAACUAAUAAACACUACUGACAACCUGAUAAAAAGAUGUUCUCAACUAAAGUUAAUUAUUGAUGAAUUUAAAAUAAAUUGCAUUACAAAAGAAUAUGAAAAAGGUUUCGAAUAAAGGGUAGUGUCCAAACUGCAAAAUUUGUUACCUGAAUGUGCCGUUUCGGAGGUACCUUAGAUCGCUAAAAGAGAAACUGGGGGUCAUUUUUCACGGAAAUGAACAGUUCGGAAUAUUCGAACUUAUUAAUAUUUGGUGAUCAAAGAUCUUAACUGUAGAAAUUCGCGUAAGAUCGUGAUUACAUAAAGAGGCAAAAUAAGUGAUGACACAACCAAUGACAACGUUCCAAAAGCUCAAAUGCGUACAGGAUAAUCUAUGCAAUUAAAGAUGAAUUUUCAGAUGAAAAAAUCGUGGAGGUUGCUAACGCCAAACAUCUUACACAUAAAUUUAUAAUAAGUUAAUGGAAAAAUGGAUUUAUCGUUUAAUAAAACAAUGAUAUUAAAAUAAAUUUUGAAGGGGAAGUAUAAAUAAUAUUUCAUGAAUGUUUCAUGGUAAUAAAUAAUUCUUUAAUAAUUUAACUCAUGUCACACUAUACAUUGUUAUAAUCGCAAUAUAAAACACAUUGUAGGAUUCGUUGAGUGGCAGUUUUCAACAACAAACAUACUCUGUCGAAUCAACUUUUAGAAUCAGGAAAAUCGAAAUUAACUAACCCUUCGCAAUCUUGCUACUUAAUAACGCAAACAUCGCAUAAUAUUAGUAGCUACCACUUCAUCGUCAAUAAGAAUUAAAUAUUCUACAGAAUGUCUCGUAUUUAUGUAGUACUAUGUACAGUUUAGGUAACUGUAAAUUAAUUUUACUUUGUCAAUGACAAUUCAUGAAAUACAUAUUAAGAUAAGUAUAAUUGGCGGUUAAUACGAAAAGUGAUUCUUUUAUGCUAGGUUCUUUUUCCGAAAUGGUCUACGAAGGGUAGAUAUAUCGACAGUUUAAAAGCAUAUCUCUAAUAUAGAGACAAUGAACAAGAAUUCCUAUAUUAAUUUAUACAGGGUGUUCCAUCGAAAGGUUAUUAGUUAUACGGAAAAAUGCAGAAAGAGUUUCAAACGAUGCAAUUCCUUUUAAUAAUUUUAUCUAAAGAGGCACAGUUUUGGAAACAUCCCGUAUAAUAUUUUACAUUAGAAAAAUUGUGUUUGCUUUGAAAUGGUCGCCGAUUCUUACUUUAGAAAAAUAUAUCAAUUAUGUUUUUGAGUAACAAUCGACAUUCAAAUCGCAUUUCCUAUUAUUCGUACAUAUACAAAUUCAUUUUACACACAUUCACACAUACGCGCGCGCGCGCGUGUCAUAUACAUUCAGAGAAACUCGCUAAUAAACGAAAAUUAAAUUAAUUUAGCGUUUGAUUCUUCUGCAAAGUUCAACUCUUCGUUUCAAAUAUUACUAUUUUAUAGAUCGUCUCAUUUUACAUGCAACAAGGGUAUCAUCUCUAGUAUUAUAUUCAAUAAUACAUUAAUAAGUCGUAAUAUCGAAAAUGACGUUACUUUUAUUACUGCUAAUUACCCUUUGAAUAUUGCAGCAUACAUUGCAUUCUAUUAAAAGCUUCAAGUUCGCGGUAAGAAAUCAUAGUAGAUUACUUUAUCACGAUAGAAAAGCAAUUUGCAAAUCAAUGGUAUAUUCAUUGGCAAUGAACUGUUUUAGAAUUCUAGUACUAUUGAAGAACGAAGAGUCAAAUCGACGCUUUUUAAAAUCUAAUACUGCCUUACGAUUUCUUCAUUGAAGCCGACUUAAUAUCAUUCUUCCUAUUCUUAAUCAGUUUUAAGUUUGAAACAAUGAUUUCCAGGUUUCCAAAAGUCUACAAAUUUGCCACUAUUAAGGAACACUGUCAAUCAUUGUUCAAAAAAUAUCAAAACCGACCGAGUUCUAUGUAUAUACAAUUUAAUAAUCAAUGUCUGAAAAAUCUGUAAGACAUUUUCAAAGCAUUAAAAAGGCUAUCAUAAUUACAAGAAUAUGGGUCUUAAAUUAUAACAGGUUGGUUACAGUUGGUUACAAUAUUAUAAUAAAAUUAUCAAAUUUAAUUCAUUUUCCUAAUACGUCUUUUUUAAUGCUCCAAAAACUACUUAUCAAGACUUACGAUCAAAUGGAGUUUCAGAUCCAAGAGAAACUUAAAAACAAAUAGUUUUAUCGAUUACUUAUGAAGAGGAAUCAUCAAAGACUGAUUGGUCCGAGCAGGGUAUGUAAAUGGUACCCUGUCUUUCAAGAAAAUUUUAUAUAAGGAGAAACUCGGUCGAAUAAUCAAUCUUACAAUAUUAUGCUCUUUACUGACUAUGAACAAAAUUAUACGCUUUCGUCUAACUUU